This 240-nucleotide unclassified non-coding RNA is filed under the name soil metagenome. RNAcentral describes it as "partial contains 5.8S ribosomal RNA, internal transcribed spacer 2, and large subunit ribosomal RNA". The record is from RNAcentral.
AACGCACGAGACCUGCGGACCUGCGGAGGGAUCGUUAAUGUGAUGGAUGUGCUAGUCUCAACCUCUCAAUCCUCCUUUCAAUAUCUUCUGUAUUGUUUAGGUGGGGGCCUGACGGCUCGAGGGGAAGGGAAAUAAGAGUCCGUUAGGGCGUGCACUCCAAUACAAAAUCCAAUCUUUACACCUUGUGCACCUACUGCCUGCUGAGCAAGAAAAGAAUAUCAAAAUGGUCUUCUUGAUUGU